UACGGAGGAUGCGAGCGUUAUCCGGAUUUAUUGGGUUUAAAGGGAGCGCAGACGGGUCGUUAAGUCAGUUGUGAAAGUUUGGGGCUCAACCUUAAAAUUGCAGUUGAUACUGGCGUCCUUGAGUGCGGUUGAGGUGUGCGGAAUUCGUGGUGUAGCGGUGAAAUGCUUAGAUAUCACGAAGAACUCCGAUUGCGAAGGCAGCACACUAAGCCGUAACUGACGUUCAUGCUCGAAAGUGUGGGUAUCAAACAGG
RNAcentral lists this ribosomal RNA (253 nucleotides) under Phocaeicola plebeius DSM 17135. RNAcentral describes it as "partial 16S ribosomal RNA". It matches the Rfam family "Bacterial small subunit ribosomal RNA", at positions 524 to 776 of the family's 1533-position model. Lineage: Bacteria; Pseudomonadati; Bacteroidota; Bacteroidia; Bacteroidales; Bacteroidaceae. The record is from RNAcentral.